This 389-nucleotide long non-coding RNA is filed under the name Physcomitrium patens. Its description in RNAcentral is "long non-coding RNA (PPAT_LNC011477)". Lineage: Eukaryota; Viridiplantae; Streptophyta; Bryopsida; Funariales; Funariaceae. The record is from RNAcentral.
UUUCUUUUGUUUGUUAUUUUCUUUGAAUAAAAAGAUUGAGAUUUUUUGAAUAUUGUGAAGUGAAUUAUGGAAUGGAAAUGUGAUUGGUAUUAUUUGAGAAGAAGAAAGAUUGAAUGCUGAAAUCUGAUUGUAGUUCAACAAAGAAAAUGAGUCUGUAUUUGUGUGAGACUGUAAUGUGAAUGGCAGUUCUAUGUGAAGAAUUUCAGUGAUUGGAAUGAGGGUAAUUGUGUGUUGAAACCUGUAAGGGCACAAUAUUACAGUUGGAGAUUAUGAAGAUGAAUAUAUUGGUGGAAAUAGAAGUUAUUGAUAUGAUUGAAUUGUUAUAAGGAAGAAACCAAUAAGGUGAAAGAAGAGAUUAUAGUUUCUUUGUAUGUUCAGAUAUUGAAAAU